RNAcentral lists this non-coding RNA (24 nucleotides) under Arabidopsis thaliana (thale cress). The record is from RNAcentral. Lineage: Eukaryota; Viridiplantae; Streptophyta; Magnoliopsida; Brassicales; Brassicaceae.
AGCUAUUUAGAUACUCUGAUGGAU